Molecule: ribosomal RNA, 164 nt
Filed under: Broussonetia luzonica
Lineage: Eukaryota; Viridiplantae; Streptophyta; Magnoliopsida; Rosales; Moraceae
Description: 5.8S ribosomal RNA
Rfam family: 5.8S ribosomal RNA
About the family: 5.8S ribosomal RNA (5.8S rRNA) is a component of the large subunit of the eukaryotic ribosome. It is transcribed by RNA polymerase I as part of the 45S precursor that also contains 18S and 28S rRNA.
Source: RNAcentral
UAAACGACUCUCGGCAACGGAUAUCUCGGCUCUCGCAUCGAUGAAGAACGUAGCGAAAUGCGAUACUUGGUGUGAAUUGCAGAAUCCCGUGAACCAUCGAGUCUUUGAACGCAAGUUGCGCCCGAAGCCAUCCGGCCGAGGGCACGUCUGCCUGGGCGUCACAC